Molecule: ribosomal RNA, 497 nt
Filed under: uncultured bacterium
Lineage: Bacteria
Description: partial 16S ribosomal RNA
Rfam family: Bacterial small subunit ribosomal RNA
Source: RNAcentral
GAUGAACGCUGGCGGCGUGCCUAAUACAUGCAAGUCGAGCGAACAGACGAGGAUCUUGCUCCUCUGACGUUAGCAACGGACGAGUAAGUAACACGUGGAUAACCUACCUAUAAGGCUUGGGUAACUUCGGGAAACCGGAGCUAAGACCGGAUACUAUAUUGAGCCGCAUGGUUGGAUAGUUAAAGACGUUUUUGAUGUGACUGAUACAUGGAUCCGCGCCGCUGUGGUGAGUUCGUAAGGUAACGGCUUACCGUAGCAAGGAUGGGUGGCCGAACGGAGAGCGUGUACGGCCACACUGGAGGUGAAACACGGCCCAGACUCCUACGGGAGGCAGCAGUAGGGAAUCGUCCGCAAUGGGCGGAAUCUUGACGGAGCAACGCCGGGUGAGUGCUGAAGCUCUUCGUAUCGUAUGACUGUGUUAUUAGUGAAGACCCAAUGUGUAAGUAACUAUGCACGUCUUGACGGUACCUAGUCAGAAAGCCACGGCUAACUACGUG